Molecule: ribosomal RNA, 253 nt
Filed under: uncultured bacterium
Lineage: Bacteria
Description: partial 16S ribosomal RNA
Rfam family: Bacterial small subunit ribosomal RNA
Source: RNAcentral
UACGUAGGUGGCAAGCGUUGUCCGGAUUUACUGGGCGUAAAGGGCGUGCAGGCGGUCUGUUAAGUGCAGGGUGAAAGCUCCCGGCUCAACUGGGAGAGGUCCUUGCAUACUGGCGGACUUGAGGGGGGUAGAGGAAAGUGGAAUUCCCGGUGUAGUGGUGAUAUGCGUAGAUAUCCGGAGGAACACCGGUGGCGAAGGCGGCUUCCUGGACCGACACUGACGCUGAGGCGCGAAAGCUAGGGGAGCAAACGGG